Molecule: non-coding RNA, 672 nt
Organism: Arachis ipaensis
Lineage: Eukaryota; Viridiplantae; Streptophyta; Magnoliopsida; Fabales; Fabaceae
Source: RefSeq, a predicted model, not a curated record
AAUUUAAUUUGCUCCCAUGUGAAUUUAUCACCCAUCUGGGCAAGGUAGUGCUAUUAUUUUAUAUACAUUAGUUUUAUUCUUAUCGGUUUUAUAUAACCAACAUGAAUUUAAUUCCUUUACAAGCAAGUUGAUAUAAUUGUUACUCAAUACAAUUUUUCUUCAAACAGUAGAAACCUUUUUGUCAUUUUGAAAUUAUUGGACCAGUAUUUUAUUCUUAUUGGUUUUCUUUUUUUGCAGCUUGUAAACUUCCUCGCACCCCUAAUGUGAAUGACAUAAUGAAGAAUUAUUUUGAUUACAGAUUGAAGAAAUGUAGCUCUUCCUAGUUGACAAGGACAAACACUUGUCAUAUCUCAUCCAUGGGUAUUUAGAGGAAGUGCCUUGUAUUAACUCCAUCUUGUGAAGGCAAAGAAAGCUAGAAGAUACAUUCCAAAAGAAUUCAAAUAGGUCCAAUAUCAAAUAGGUCCAAUAUUGCUAGUAUUGGAAUGGAUAACUUGAAUGCUUAAUGCACAAAGUGGAGCAGUUUUAGGUUGAUUAUGAUCUUUUACUAAGUAUUUAAGUUGAUGAUCAUCGUUAUUAGUGUAAUUUGAUAUAUUAUGAGCAGUUUUAACUUGUAUUGUUUCUGUAUUUUUCUUCGGUUUUUAGUUUUGGAUUUUGAACUCAAGAUUUAUUUUG